RNAcentral lists this ribosomal RNA (491 nucleotides) under uncultured bacterium. RNAcentral describes it as "partial 16S ribosomal RNA". It matches the Rfam family "Bacterial small subunit ribosomal RNA", at positions 29 to 506 of the family's 1533-position model. The record is from RNAcentral.
AGUGAACGCUGGCGGUAGGCCUAACACAUGCAAGUCGAACGGCAGCACAGUAAGAGCUUGCUCUUACGGGUGGCGAGUGGCGGACGGGUGAGGAAUACAUCGGAAUCUACUUUUUCGUGGGGGAUAACGUAGGGAAACUUACGCUAAUACCGCAUACGACCUACGGGUGAAAGCAGGGGAUCUUCGGGCCUUGCGCGAUUGAAUGAGCCGAUGUCGGAUUAGCUAGUUGGCGGGGUAAAGGCCCACCAAGGCGACGAUCCGUAGCUGGUCUGAGAGGAUGAUCAGCCACACUGGAACUGAGACACGGUCCAGACUCCUACGGGAGGCAGCAGUGGGGAAUAUUGGACAAUGGGCGCAAGCCUGAUCCAGCCAUACCGCGUGGGUGAAGAAGGCCUUCGGGUUGUAAAGCCCUUUUGUUGGGAAAGAAAAGCAGCAGGUUAAUACCCCGCUGUUCUGACGGUACCCAAAGAAUAGACACCGGCUAACUUCGG